Oncorhynchus mykiss (rainbow trout) is the source of this 2726-nucleotide long non-coding RNA. RefSeq lists it as uncharacterized. Lineage: Eukaryota; Metazoa; Chordata; Actinopteri; Salmoniformes; Salmonidae. The record is from RefSeq and is a predicted model, not a curated record.
CACUGUUCCUACGCCGUCAUUGAAAAUAAGAAUUUGUUCUUAACUGACUUGCCUGGUUAUAAAGGUAAAAUAAUAUAUUUUUUUUUUAAACAACCCAGCCGCUGCAUCAAUGGUCUGCAAUAAGCACCAAAUUAACAUUAUCCCCAGACAUAAAUUCAUUAAUUUAAGAAAAAUAUAUUAAUUACAAGAAAAACGUUCUGAUGGGAUGAAAUGUUAACCAAAAACAUGGAAAACGUACACUGUUCAAAUAGAAAGACUCAAAACACCUACAUUGUGUACUGAAACCAUGAAAAGUAGUGCACCUAAACUAAGAUCUGGUGUUUGGAUGGGCUUUGAAUGUAAACCUAAUGUAAGUAUUUUGUUUUAAAAUAGAAUGGAAGUACUCUUAAACACUCAAAAGUGGAUAUUCAAUCUGAAUAUUGGUGUUUUUAAAAAUAUUGUGAAAAAAAUGUGGGGGCUCAGUACAAAAAUAUUUUUGCAGACUCUCACACAAUCCUUUCCAGUGACUCAUUUUAGAAAUGUAUUGAGUGUAAGAGCCAGAGCUGAUAUAUUUCUCCAUGGUUUGCUGAAAUACGUUCAUAUUUUAAAGAGGAUACAGGAAUGUAAUACUUUUCCUAGGGUAGACAAUGGCACUAGGUAUAGAUUAUUACAGUUUCCAGGCUCAUUGUGAGAUUAUAAAUUAUGUUACAAUCAAAAUACUUAAAGUAAGUAAGUUAUAGUAGAGGACACAUGUAUAAAGCUGGUGUAUGUGUGAUAAUAUGGAUUUGAACCUGGGUCACCUGCUUGUCAAAACACUGCCUUAGUCCAUUCAGCCAGUCUUCAGUCUUAACAGCUGUGCUGACCACCAUUGUUACAUUGAGCACAUUGGGGCCGAUUCAGUCUUGAGAUAAAUACACUUAACAUGGAUUUGAGUCAAUAAAACAUGGACAUUUGUUUUACUUGAUCCAUGUUAAAUCAACAUAUGUGCACCUAUAUUUUUUUUCAAUACUUUAUUUAGACAGAUUAGAAACAGAAGGAGUGAAGGUGAGAUAUGCGGAAGUGGGGAUUAAACCCACUCAAGCAUAUAUCCACACGACUUGUAAGGAACUUGUAAAUCACAUUGAGUUAAACUCUGGUUCCCCAUAUCAGAAGACACAUGUUUAGAUUAAAGGUCAAAUGUGAAUUUCAAACAUUGUGCUGCCAUACUGAUCAGAAUUCCCCCAGUCUGGGGCAUGGAGGUGGAGAGAAGGCAUUCAUAGCAGGAGUGAUUAUUCUUUGGUCUAGUGUAAAAACAGGCAAGUUUGUGUGUGCCUCUCCUCUCUUUGGGUCCUUCGCAAACUCAGACAGGCGAGAGCACACCAAACGCUCAGAAAAUCAUGAAUAUGGGUCAAUUCUAACCAAAGCCAAUCAAGACAAGGAUCAGACUAAUGCCGGCUGAAAUGUCAGUUUUCUCAUCUAGCUCAACUGUACUGUGAUUCAAUCCAUUGCAACAUGUACCAUCUGAAUAUAAAUACUCAGGUCAGAGAUGUAGUUUGUACAUGUGUAAAGAGUCAUAACUACAUCUCUGCCUAUCGUCUCUAACCAGAAUCCCACCGUAGAUGGUCAUCUUUCACCAGCCCUAUCUAUACCCCUCAUUCUUUACAUGUAUAUUGUCGUACACUUAAUCCUCUUUCUAUUGGCACUUUGAAGUCAACCCAGGUUGGGCUGGCAUUGGUGGGCUAGCUCAAAUUGCGUUUCCACUGCCUCCAGAAAUGAGAAAUUAUGUCAUGUUGCUAGAUAGCCAAUAUGUGACUGCAGUUGGCUUCGCUGAUGUUGCUAGCUAGCAGAAUGUUGAAGAAUUUAAUUCGCCCUCACCAUGCUGCAUUUAACUUUACUCUAUACUGCUGUCAGUGCCAGUCAGACUCCGAGCCAUUCAUUUAGCUUGCUGACGUUAGCUAGCUGGUUAGCGUCGUCGCUAGCAUUACAGGCUAGCUAGCUAGCUUAAUUCCUACCUUGACAUUGGCUAUUAGCUAGCUAGCUAACCAAGCAAACCAGACGACAGGCUUGAUAAAAUGUAGCUAGUUAGCUAGCUUUCAAUGCGACCAGGCCAGCUAAAAUUCCUGCUUAGUUCGCCUGUUAGUUUUUUCAACUCUGAUUUGCUAGCUAACGUUAGAUAGCUAGCAUUUGAGGUCUGACUGGUCUCAUACGCGUUUAUUGUGUAGUGCAAAAAUGAAUGAAGAAUCCAGCUAUGGUGGUAAUUUGUGUCAUGUCUGACUACUGCAGUCCUGCUUGUCCAUCAACUAGCUAACAGAGCCCAGAAGAGCUAUCUAAAUGUUGUCAGUAUCCAGCAGUAAUGAACUUGGUGGUUGUAAAAUAUAUAUAUAUAACAACCUUGGUGGUUGUAUAGUAAUGGCGUCACUCGACCCAACUCGAAUUUGGCCCUAAUUGGAAAUUGGGCUUUAGAGGUAGCCCUUAUUCAGGACUCCAAUUACAUUAGAGUGGAGCCAUUCCACGUCGCCUUUUGCCUUGUAAGGGAAAUGCCCAGACGCUCCGAUGCUGCCCGACGCUGAGAAGGUCCUGUACUUUCCCCAAUCAAGCAUUGAACCUGCAAUUUACUGUACAACAACACCCAAUCCUGAGAAUACGAAUACGCUAAAUAUGUUUCAGAUCUUGGAAGUGUCUUAAUCAAUCUACAAAUGUGAAUGACCUGUUAAGGUUUUGUUGUCAUUUUAUAAAAUGCAAAGAAAAUAAAGAAUUUAAAGCUUCAA